This 449-nucleotide ribosomal RNA is filed under the name uncultured bacterium. Its description in RNAcentral is "partial 16S ribosomal RNA". It matches the Rfam family "Bacterial small subunit ribosomal RNA", at positions 28 to 523 of the family's 1533-position model. The record is from RNAcentral.
GACGAACGCUGGCGGCAUGCCUAACACAUGCAAGUCGAACGAGAUCUUCGGGUCUAGUGGCGCACGGGUGCGUAACGCGUGGGAAUCUGCCCUUUGGUUCGGAAUAACAGUUGGAAACGACUGCUAAUACCGGAUGAUGACGAAAGUCCAAAGAUUUAUCGCCAGAGGAUGAGCCCGCGUAGGAUUAGCUAGUUGGUGUGGUAAAGGCGCACCAAGGCGACGAUCCUUAGCUGGUCGGAGAGGAUGAUCAGCCACACUGGGACUGAGACACGGCCCAGGCUCCUACGGGAGGCAGCAGUGGGUAAUAUUGGAAAAUGGGCGAAAGGCUGAUCCAGCAAUGCCGCGUGAGUGAUGAAGGCCUUAGGGUUGUAAAGCUCUUUUACCCGGGAUGAUAAUGACAGUACCGGGAGAAUAAGCUCCGGCUAACUCCGUGCCAGCAGCCGCCGUAA